This 361-nucleotide ribosomal RNA is filed under the name uncultured bacterium. Its description in RNAcentral is "bacterial SSU rRNA". It matches the Rfam family "Bacterial small subunit ribosomal RNA", at positions 29 to 420 of the family's 1533-position model. The record is from RNAcentral.
AGCGAACGCUGGCGGCAGGCCUAAAACAUGCAAGUCGAACGCCGUAGCAAUACGGAGUGGCAGACGGGUGAGUAACACGUGGGAACGUGCCUUUUGGUUCGGAACAACACAGGGAAACUUGUGCUAAUAUCGGAUAAGCCCUUACGGGGAAGAUUAUCGCCAAAGAUCGGCCCGCGUCUGAUUAGCUAGUUGGUGAGGUAACGGCUCACCAAGGCUACGAUCAGUAGCUGGCUGAGAGGAUGAUCAGCCACACUGGGACUGAGACACGGCCCAGACUCCUACGGGAGGCAGCAGUGGGGAAGUCUUGCGCAAUGGGCGAAAGCCUGACGCAGCGACGCCGCGUGAGGGAUGACGGCCUCGG